GAUGAACGCUGGCGGCGUGCCUAAUACAUGCAAGUCGAGCGAACGGAUGAGAAGCUUGCUCCUCUGACGUUAGCGGCGGACGGGUGAGUAACACGUGGAUAACCUACCUAUAAGACUGGGAUAACUUCGGGAAACCGGAGCUAAUACCGGAUAAUAUAUUGAACCGCAUGGUUCAAUAGUGAAAGACGGUUUUGCUGUCACUUAUAGAUGGAUCCGCGCCGCAUUAGCUAGUUGGUAAGGUAACGGCUUACCAAGGCAACGAUGCAUAGCCGACCUGAGAGGGUGAUCGGCCACACUGGAACUGAGACACGGUCCAGACUCCUACGGGAGGCAGCAGUAGGGAAUCUUCCGCAAUGGGCGAAAGCCUGACGGAGCAACGCCGCGUGAGUGAUGAAGGUCUUCGGAUCGUAAAACUCUGUUAUUAGGGAAGAACAUAUGUGUAAGUAACUAUGCACGUCUUGACGGUACCUAAUCAGAAAGCCACGGCUAACUACGUG
This 497-nucleotide ribosomal RNA is filed under the name uncultured bacterium. RNAcentral's name for it is "partial 16S ribosomal RNA". It matches the Rfam family "Bacterial small subunit ribosomal RNA", at positions 28 to 507 of the family's 1533-position model. The record is from RNAcentral.